CCUACGGGAGGCAGCAGUGGGGAAUAUUGCACAAUGGGCGCAAGCCUGAUGCAGCGACGCCGCGUGAGGGAUGACGGCCUUCGGGUUGUAAACCUCUUUCACCAGGGACGAAGCGCAAGUGACGGUACCUGGAGAAGAAGCACCGGCCAACUACGUGCCAGCAGCCGCGGUAAUACGUAGGGUGCGAGCGUUGUCCGGAAUUACUGGGCGUAAAGAGCUCGUAGGUGGUUUGUCGCGUUGUUCGUGAAAACUCACAGCUUAACUGUGGGCGUGCGGGCGAUACGGGCAGACUAGAGUACUGCAGGGGAGACUGGAAUUCCUGGUGUAGCGGUGGAAUGCGCAGAUAUCAGGAGGAACACCGGUGGCGAAGGCGGGUCUCUGGGCAGUAACUGACGCUGAGGAGCGAAAGCGUGGGGAGCGAACAGGAUUAGAUACCCUGGUAGUCCACGCCGUAAACGGUGGGUACUAGGUGUGGGUUCCUUCCUUGGGAUCCGUGCCGUAGCUAACGCAUUAAGUACCCCGCCUGGGGAGUACGGCCGCNAGGCUAAAACUCAAAGGAAUUGACGG
This 567-nucleotide ribosomal RNA is filed under the name uncultured Mycobacterium sp. RNAcentral describes it as "bacterial SSU rRNA". It matches the Rfam family "Bacterial small subunit ribosomal RNA", at positions 338 to 916 of the family's 1533-position model. The record is from RNAcentral. Lineage: Bacteria; Bacillati; Actinomycetota; Actinomycetes; Mycobacteriales; Mycobacteriaceae.